CCUGCCCCGCCCCAGCUGCGCCGCCGCCGCCGCCAAGCACCGCCCGCUCGCGCGCCUCCCUGCUGCAAGCGGCCGUCUCCCUCUGUCUCCAACGCCCUCCCUCGACCUCGGCGGCAAGCGGCCGGACCUCACUGCUGCCGUCUCCCUCCGUCUCCAACGCCCUCCCGCGACCCGCGCCGCCGUCUUCUCCGUCCACGGCGGAUUCCUUCACUGUCCCUUCACCCGAUUCCACUGCCUCCUCCCUGCAGCACAAGAUCCGCCUGGAUCCCCACCGACGUCGCCCGCGCCUCCCUCCACCCACUGCUCGACCGGCGCCGCUCCGUCCGGCCACGGCUCGCACGGCACCGUCAGCUGCCACCUCCGUCCGGCCACAUCUCGCCCGGCACCGUCCGCUGCCCUGCCACCUCC
RNAcentral lists this long non-coding RNA (408 nucleotides) under Sorghum bicolor (sorghum). RNAcentral's name for it is "long non-coding RNA (SBIC_LNC016554)". Lineage: Eukaryota; Viridiplantae; Streptophyta; Magnoliopsida; Poales; Poaceae. The record is from RNAcentral.